AUGGCGGGGCGCAGGGAGACCCAGCCGUGGAUGCAGCAGCCACACGCGACGUCGACCUCGCCCCUGACCCCGUCGUUCGGGUCGAUGCUCAGCGCUAAAGCCGACGAGUUCGUUCCUGGGAAGGCGUCGUCGACCCCCCAAGGCGCCUUGGAUCUGCAGGAGGUGCGUUCCCGCUUUCUCAGCGGCGGCGGGAUCGAUGCUCUGUCAACCAAGGAGGGAAUGAAGGCUCUCCGUCUACUACUGCGUGACUGCAAGCAGAAUUACGCAGCGCUGGACACCAUUGUGGAUGCUGCCGUGGAGGCCAAUGUGAUGUCAGCUGCGUAUAGCCGAAACAUUAUGAAGCUGCUGCUCGCUGCGGUCACAGACCACCCAGCUCUGCUGAAGAUGCUACUCGAGUACCUUGUUCGCUCCGAGCUGGUGCACAGAGCCCAAGGGGUGGAACUACUUCACUACUGCUUUACGUCCAUGGACUACAGACAUUGCAAGAUUUUAAUCCAGCACGGCAUCGACUCUUUGAGAACAAGAACACACCACACACGUCGUAUGUCUGAUUACUACAUUGAGUGCUUCAGGUGUGCCCAGGGCAGUGAGCUAUUAGUCUUUGAGGAGGUUGUGAUUGAGCGCGCCGUGGAUCUAGCACUUGGACAGUAUAGCAACUAUGCCAUUCAACACGUCCUCAAACACUGCGAGUAUGCGACGAAAUUGCGAAUUGUGGAGCAGUUGAUGCCAGAAGUACUCAUGCUGUGUCUAGAUGAACAUGGAGGGUAUGUGGUGCAGUCGUGCUUCAAGCAGGCUGACAAUGCACCCUUAGAUGCUGAUAUGUUGGUAAUUGUGCUGGAUACUGUGCUUGGCCUUGGAAUAGAGGAGCUAACCCAAAUGGUAACAGGCGACCAUUCUCACUGGGUCGUCCUCGAACUGCUGGGUGAAAAGAGCCAAAUUCUGAUGAAGGAAAGAGUGCGCAUACUGGCUUUGAUGAUCAGCCGACUUUCAGAGACCGUCCUGCAGCAACCGAAUGCGAGGCGCGUCAUGGCUCGACUUCCCGCGACGUCCUGA
This 1053-nucleotide ribosomal RNA is filed under the name Triticum aestivum (bread wheat). Its description in RNAcentral is "partial small subunit ribosomal RNA". Lineage: Eukaryota; Viridiplantae; Streptophyta; Magnoliopsida; Poales; Poaceae. The record is from RNAcentral.